UGGGGAAUAUUGCACAAUGGGGGAAACCCUGAUGCAGCGACGCCGCGUGAGUGAAGAAGUAUUUCGGUAUGUAAAGCUCUAUCAGCAGGGAAGAAAAAAGACGGUACCUGACUAAGAAGCCCCGGCUAACUACGUGCCAGCAGCCGCGGUAAUACGUAGGGGGCAAGCGUUAUCCGGAUUUACUGGGUGUAAAGGGAGCGUAGACGGAGAAGCAAGUCUGAAGUGAAAGCCCGUGGCUUAACCACGGGACUGCUUUGGAAACUGUUUGACUAGAGUGCUGGAGAGGUAAGUGGAAUUCCUAGUGUAGCGGUGAAAUGCGUAGAUAUUAGGAGGAACACCAGUGGCGAAGGCGGCUUACUGGACAGUAACUGACGUUGAGGCUCGAAAGCGUGGGGAGCAAACAGG
This 405-nucleotide ribosomal RNA is filed under the name uncultured bacterium. RNAcentral describes it as "bacterial SSU rRNA". It matches the Rfam family "Bacterial small subunit ribosomal RNA", at positions 355 to 776 of the family's 1533-position model. The record is from RNAcentral.